Molecule: ribosomal RNA, 253 nt
Filed under: uncultured bacterium
Lineage: Bacteria
Description: partial 16S ribosomal RNA
Rfam family: Bacterial small subunit ribosomal RNA
Source: RNAcentral
GACAGAGGGGGCAAGCGUUGCUCGGAAUUACUGGGCGUAAAGGGCGCGUAGGCGGGAUGGCAAGUCGGUCGUGAAAUCCUUCGGCUCAACCGAAGAACGUCGGCCGAUACUGCCGUUCUUGAGGGAUGCAGAGGAGAUUGGAAUUCCCGGUGUAGCGGUGAAAUGUGUAGAGAUCGGGAGGAACACCGGUAGCGAAGGCGGGUCUCUGGGCAUCUCCUGACGCUGAGGCGCGAAAGCGUGGGGAGCGAACAGG